ACGGCAACGACCCGAAGGGCGAAGCGCGCAGCGCUGAGUAAUCUCUCCCCCACCACCA
RNAcentral lists this small RNA (58 nucleotides) under Salmonella enterica subsp. enterica. Its description in RNAcentral is "partial RtT sRNA". It matches the Rfam family "RtT RNA", at positions 73 to 130 of the family's 130-position model. From Rfam's summary of the family: This family represents a bacterial cis-regulatory element known as RtT RNA. The exact function of RtT is unknown although it is thought that it may be involved in changing the cellular response in relation to amino acid starvation. The record is from RNAcentral. Lineage: Bacteria; Pseudomonadati; Pseudomonadota; Gammaproteobacteria; Enterobacterales; Enterobacteriaceae. RNAcentral also lists the same sequence under 2 other names.